Molecule: ribosomal RNA, 269 nt
Filed under: uncultured bacterium
Lineage: Bacteria
Description: partial 16S ribosomal RNA
Rfam family: Bacterial small subunit ribosomal RNA
Source: RNAcentral
UUUGCUGGCGACCGGCGCACGGGUGAGUAACACGUAUCCAACCUGCCCUUUACUCGGGGAUAGCCUUUCGAAAGAAAGAUUAAUACCCGAUAGUAUAAUGAUUCCGCAUGGUUUCAUUAUUAAAGGAUUCCGUAAAGGAUGGGGAUGCGUUCCAUUAGGUUGUUGGUGAGGUAACGGCUCACCAAGCCUUCGAUGGAUAGGGGUUCUGAGAGGAAGGUCCCCCACAUUGGAACUGAGACACGGUCCAAACUCCUACGGGAGGCAGCAUG